RNAcentral lists this ribosomal RNA (868 nucleotides) under Pseudomonas sp. Its description in RNAcentral is "bacterial SSU rRNA". It matches the Rfam family "Bacterial small subunit ribosomal RNA", at positions 37 to 873 of the family's 1533-position model. Lineage: Bacteria; Pseudomonadati; Pseudomonadota; Gammaproteobacteria; Pseudomonadales; Pseudomonadaceae. The record is from RNAcentral.
UGGGGGGGGGCCCUAACAAUGCAAGUCGAGCGGAUGAAGGGAGCUUGCUUCCUGAUUCAGCGGCGGACGGGUGAGUAAUGCCUAGGAAUCUGCCUGGUAGUGGGGGACAACGUCUCGAAAGGGACGCUAAUACCGCAUACGUCCUACGGGAGAAAGUGGGGGCUCUUCGGACCUCACGCUAUCAGAUGAGCCUAGGUCGGAUUAGCUAGUUGGUGGGGUAAUGGCUCACCAAGGCGACGAUCCGUAACUGGUCUGAGAGGAUGAUCAGUCACACUGGAACUGAGACACGGUCCAGACUCCUACGGGAGGCAGCAGUGGGGAAUAUUGGACAAUGGGCGAAAGCCUGAUCCAGCCAUGCCGCGUGUGUGAAGAAGGUCUUCGGAUUGUAAAGCACUUUAAGUUGGGAGGAAGGGCAUUAACCUAAUACGUUGGUGUUUUGACGUUACCGACAGAAUAAGCACCGGCUAACUCUGUGCCAGCAGCCGCGGUAAUACAGAGGGUGCAAGCGUUAAUCGGAAUUACUGGGCGUAAAGCGCGCGUAGGUGGUUUGUCAAGUUGGAUGUGAAAGCCCCGGGCUCAACCUGGGAACUGCAUCCAAAACUGGCAGGCUAGAGUAUGGUAGAGGGUGGUGGAAUUUCCUGUGUAGCGGUGAAAUGCGUAGAUAUAGGAAGGAACACCAGUGGCGAAGGCGACCACCUGGGACUGAUACUGACACUGAGGUGCGAAAGCGUGGGGAGCAAACAGGAUUAGAUACCCUGGUAGUCCACGCCGUAAACGAUGUCACCUAGCCCGUUGGGGAGCCCUGAGCCUCUUAGUUGCGCAGCUAACGCCAUUAAGUUUGACCGCCCUGGGGGGAGGUUACCGGGUC